UAGCAUGAAGUCAGACAAGAGAACCCGCUGAAUUU
Molecule: ribosomal RNA, 35 nt
Filed under: Symbiodinium sp.
Lineage: Eukaryota; Dinophyceae; Suessiales; Symbiodiniaceae
Description: partial 28S ribosomal RNA
Source: RNAcentral